UACAGGGGGGGCAAGCGUUGUUCGGAAUUACUGGGCGUAAAGGGCUCGUAGGUGGCCAACUAAGUCAGACGUGAAAUCCCUCAGCUUAACUGGGGAACUGCGUCUGAUACUGGAUGGCUUGAGUUUGGGAGAGGGAUGCGGAAUUCCAGGUGUAGCGGUGAAAUGCGUAGAUAUCUGGAGGAACACCGGUGGCGAAGGCGGCAUCCUGGACCGGUAUUGACGCUGAGGCGCGAAAGCCAGGGGAGCAAACGGG
RNAcentral lists this ribosomal RNA (253 nucleotides) under uncultured bacterium. RNAcentral's name for it is "partial 16S ribosomal RNA". It matches the Rfam family "Bacterial small subunit ribosomal RNA", at positions 524 to 776 of the family's 1533-position model. The record is from RNAcentral.